GAUGAAGAACGUAGCGAAAUGCGAUACGUAUUGUGAAUUGCAGAUCAGUGAACCAUCGAAUCUUUGAACGCACCUUGCGGCCGCUGGCAUUCCGGCGGUCACGCCCGUCCGAGCGUCAUUUCAACCCUCAGGCCCCCGCGCCUGGCCUUGGGCUCACAGGAUUGACCCUGGCGCCCUAACCGCAGCGGCGGCGGCGUCCCGAAGGCUCUGCGUAGUUCAGCUCUCGCAGUGGCCCCGGGCGCGGCCUGCCUAGACCCUCACUGUAGCUUGACCUCGGGUGGGCGGGGAUACCCGCUGAACUUAAGCAUAUCAAUAAGCGGAGGA
Molecule: unclassified non-coding RNA, 324 nt
Filed under: soil metagenome
Description: partial contains 5.8S ribosomal RNA, internal transcribed spacer 2, and large subunit ribosomal RNA
Rfam family: 5.8S ribosomal RNA (bases 1-118)
Source: RNAcentral